CAUGGUUCCAGUUUGUAUCAAUUAUAUCAGAUACUUCAGAGAAUCAGAUAAGUAGAUUCUAAUAGUGAUACGUUGUUUCAACAAAUCAUGGAGUCAAAGAAAAAUGUUUGAAGAUUCAUUCUGUUGAAGAUGAAUGUUUCUGUAGUCAAAACCACAUUCCUUUUGACAAUAGGUAAUUUUCACUGACUCUCUCAGUGUGGAAAUCGUGAGACACAAGAUUUAAAAUGCUUAGCUUUAUGUUAAUGAUUCAACAGAAUAUUCACUGGGGCAAAACCACUUUAAAAAUCAUUCCUGAAAUAUUAUCUCAUCUUUGAAAUAAUGAUGCAUGACUGAAGACAUCCCAUGAUUCUAGAAGGGUGCGGUGGAAAGAAAAUGUGAUAGGAAUGGCUUAGAGAGAAAGGAUUCUCCAAGGAAAAGAGAAAUAUGGUCACACUACUAAAAAUCUGUUUGGUUGCCAUGAGAUAGGAGAGACGUUGCAGAGGAGGAAUUACUACAACCCACAAAAGAUCGAACAUGAUUGUCAAUAAUAAAAAACUUAUUCCUCUUAUAAUUGGAAUUUUGUAACCCGUGACCAGCAUCUCCUUAUUCUGCCUCUACUUUCCCCCACCCCCACCCCUGGCAUUUGAACAUGAUAUCACAAUUUAAAAGCACAAGGUCGUCCUUAAAAUGGUGUGGAAAAACAAAGGAAGGCAAAGCAUCAAAGGUGG
Long non-coding RNA from Zalophus californianus (California sea lion), 707 nucleotides. RefSeq lists it as uncharacterized. NCBI's taxonomy places the organism in Eukaryota, Metazoa, Chordata, Mammalia, Carnivora, Otariidae. The transcript has 4 exons. The record is from RefSeq and is a predicted model, not a curated record.